This 253-nucleotide ribosomal RNA is filed under the name uncultured bacterium. RNAcentral describes it as "partial 16S ribosomal RNA". It matches the Rfam family "Bacterial small subunit ribosomal RNA", at positions 524 to 776 of the family's 1533-position model. The record is from RNAcentral.
UACGUAGGGUGCAAGCGUUAAUCGGAAUUACUGGGCGUAAAGCGUGCGCAGGCGGUUUUGUAAGACCGAUGUGAAAUCCCCGGGCUUAACCUGGGAACUGCAUUGGUGACUGCAAGGCUUGAGUGUGUCAGAGGGAGGUGGAAUUCCGCGUGUAGCAGUGAAAUGCGUAGAUAUCUGGAGGAACACCGGUGGCGAAGGCGGCAUCCUGGACCAACACUGACGCUGAGGAGCGAAAGCCAGGGGAGCAAACGGG